RNAcentral lists this ribosomal RNA (253 nucleotides) under uncultured bacterium. RNAcentral's name for it is "partial 16S ribosomal RNA". It matches the Rfam family "Bacterial small subunit ribosomal RNA", at positions 524 to 776 of the family's 1533-position model. The record is from RNAcentral.
GCCGAACCGUGCGAACGUUGUUCGGAUUCACUGGGCUUAAAGGGCGCGUAGGCGGGCGACCAAGUCCGGGGUGAAAUCUUUCGGCUCAACCGGAAGAGUGCCUUGGAUACUGGUUGCCUCGAGGGAGGUAGGGGCAUGCGGAACUUCCGGUGGAGCGGUGAAAUGCGUAGAUAUCGGAAGGAACGCCGGUGGCGAAAGCGGCGUGCUGGACCUCUUCUGACGCUGAGGCGCGAAAGCCAGGGGAGCGAACAGG